RNAcentral lists this long non-coding RNA (8763 nucleotides) under Equus caballus (horse). RNAcentral's name for it is "lncRNA (ENSECAG00000055502.1)". Lineage: Eukaryota; Metazoa; Chordata; Mammalia; Perissodactyla; Equidae. The record is from RNAcentral.
AUUAAAAUCAGUAAAAUUUUUUAUAUAGAAUCAAAAUGAUCCGGUCAAUUAAUCAACAGAACUCUAUUGAGUGCCAGAUGCUCAGUUCUGCUCUCCUCUGUGUGUGGGGGAACAUAAUGAGAAUAGAUGUGGGAAACCUAAUUUGGGAGAUAGGAUAUGUGCACAUGAAAACAUAACUCAAAACUCAGAACACACUAUGAUAAUUAGCAUGUAGUUGGUACAAUAUGGUAUGCACAAUUAGAGCUAUAAAAACUGGAUGGAAGUAAUAGUUCCUCAAGUUUAGAUGGUGAAAAAUGUCUCCUGGAAGAGGUCCCCGCCAUGAAUCCAAACUCCGUCUUCCUUUGCUUGUUCAAAGAGGACACUUCUGAGUGGUAUCCCUGGGAAACUUGUCCUUAAUAUUCCGUCUUCCCGGAAUCCAGCUUCCUCUUCUCUUCCCCUCCUCUUUCCGGUGCCCUGCAACCUACUGGCAUGGUUGAGACCCUCUUUUAUGAUAGAAGGGCUCAGACAAAAGCCUCGGUAUCGAUUGCCAGUGAGGCAUGAAAAUAAGAUUUUCAACAUAUUUACUAACGAACAGUUGUUGAGGCACAUAUAUAUAUACUCACUUGUACCCGUUUAGUUCCUGGAACCACAGGUUGGAGACGUUUAACAAAGCCUAGUUCUAAUAGGAAGAAAAAUGAGAGUCAGCUUUUCUUGUAGUUUGUUUGCUCCCAGAGAGCAAACAUAUGUCUUCUAUGAGUCUUUUCCAUAGUUUCUGAAACUACCUUAGCAAGAUAAAUACUACUUUCUUUCUCUGACAGGCAUGAAGGUCUCCAACUCCUGUUAAUAUGUUUUCCUUUUAGCACAGCGCCUCUUGAUGGAAGAUUGUAAACUACUUAUACUUCUUAGUCUGGUCCUGCCCAAAACACCUCAUGCCUUCAAGAAGUUUGGCUUUAUGUCAAGUCUUCUGAGGAGGAAUGGAUUACAUAAACAUCACACUACACUAUUAUUAUUUGUUGCUUUGUCACAUUGGUGUGUUAUAACAACUCGUGGUGAUUUUAAUUAUCAUUAUUAAUAACUAUUAAAUAUACCCUAUAUGUUCUAAUCAGGUGUGGAAAGGUGACUCAUGUCUAGUUUGAGACUAACGAGAUCCUCUACAUAUCAUUUAGGGUCAUGUCACUCAGGUUAGGUGAAGGAGUAAAGAAACAUGAUUGCCUCGACAUAGUGCUGGGCAACUAAGAAAUACGUCAGUAGACUUAGAAUCAAAUAGAGCAAAAUUCAUGCUUAACCCUGUUAGUGUGAUGUUUUAUUGACUGGGGAGAUUCAGUUGGGCCUUUGGGAAAUAGGUGAGGAGCGCAGGGCUUGCAAUGGGCAAGUGACAAAAGAAACAUGAGAGCUCAGAUGCUGGGUGGAAACUGCAGACAGUUCUAAGUCAAAUGCUAAGGAAAUAAGACACAGUCCAGACAGAUGAGAACCCUGUGUAAGAGCAGGAGAAAUCAUGUGGGCUGAGGAACUCCUUCAAGGCCUGUGAUGUAGUGUGGGUUCAAAACAUGAUACUUGAUUUUUUAAUACUGCUCUUAAAUUGAUUAAAAUUAAUUAGUAUAUUUUCCAUUUAAAUUAAGUACAAAAAUAGGUAAAACUAACCUAUCAGCUUAGAAGUCAGGGUAACAGUGACCCUUGACGGAGUGGUCAGUGACGGGCAGGCAUUAGGGGUAUGUCUGGGGGCUGGUGAUGUUCUGUUUCUUAAUCUGAGUGCCCUUAAGGGGUGUGCUCAGUUAGUGAAAAAUUCAUUUUUAUGUUUACUAGGUGAGCACUUUUUAUGUGAAUAUUAAUACUUCAAUAAACAGUUUUUUAAAAGUAAGAAAUCAGUAGAUUUCAAAGGACGGUCACCUCUGCAGUGCAUCAGCCUUAGGUGAAUGGCUUUGUAGGGAGAUCUCAAGCCCUGGGAAAUGAGCCAGUGCAGCAGAACAGAAUGGCUCUGCACGAGCUGACCAGCUCACAGAGAGCCUCCCUCAGUUCUCUCCGCCGCCUUGCUACUUGCCGUGUUACCUACGUCAGCAUUCAACACUACUGUGGGGGAAGGUCAUCAUUGUGUGUUGGGAGUGAAGUGGAUAAAUAAAAUACAAUAAUGACUUUGAUGUUUCUCCACUCCUGGUAACUAGGCAUUCUCAGACACUGGGUCGUUUUUCUCAAAGUAGAUCUGGCUAGGAGUAUGUAUUUGUAACCCCAGAUGGACCAGAAAGUGAUUGUACCUUGAUUCCCAGAUGGUUGUGGUUUUUGGUUUUUGUUUCAUUUUGUUUUGUCUUUUUCUUUAAGGAAGUUUAGCCCUAAGCUGACAUCUGAGCCAAUCUUCCUCUCUUUUGUAUAUGGGUUGCCACCACAUCAUGGCUGAUGAGUGGUAUAGGUCAAUGCCCAGGAUCCCAACCCACGAACCCGGGCAGCCAAAGCAGAGUACACUGAACUUAACCACUAGGCCACGGGGCUGGCCCUGUGGUUUUUGUUUUUAAUCAUGGACAUCCUGAGAGGUCAAUUCAGGUCUCAGCAGCUACAUUCCAUAACCAGGAUCUAAGUUUUGUUAGUGCUCCCUUGUCCUGCCCACCACCAGCUCUUGUCUGUGACCUUACAGUGAAGCUCUCAUUGACCCUGUCUUCCAAGUGCUAUUACAUCAAGAGUGAGGUCCUUGUUUUCCAUUGGAUUAUUCAUUUGGGUCAGAUGAGAUAUGGUGUGAUGAUUCGGUUUAUGGGUCAGCUUGCCAGGGGCACAAGGUGCCAAGAUAUUUGGUCAAACAUUAUUCUGGGUGUGUCUGUGAGAGUGUUUUUGGAUGGGGUUAACUUUUGAAUGGAUAGACUGAGUAAAGCAGAUGUCCCCCCCCUAAUGUGGGUGACCCUCAUCUGAGCAGUUGAUUGCCUGAAUGGAAAAAAAAGACUGACCCUCCUAGGAAUAGAAAAAAAGGAACUUCUCCUCCCUGAUCACUUGAGCUGGAACAUCAGUCUCUUCCUGCCUUCAGACUAGACCUGAAACAUCAGCUUUUCUGGGGUCUCAGGUCGGCCAGCUUUCAGACUGGACUUUACGUCAUCAGCUCUCCUGGUUCUCAGGCCUUUGGACUCAGACAGGAAGUGCACCAUCGGCUCUCCUGGGUCUCCAGCCUGCUAACUGCGGACCCUGGGACAUCUCAGCCUCCAUCAUAGGAACCAAUUCCUUGUAGUGUGUGUGUGUGUGUCUGUGUGUGAGAGAGCUAUAGAGGGACAAGUUUGUGGUAGCUGUAACAGAACAAGAUCAAAAUGGUAUUCUGGCUAGAUUAUAUUAACCAAUUCUGAUUAUUUCUUAUACCUGAUACCCUUCUUUUAAAAACAUAAUUAUCUGAGCUGUUUUACAAAGGGAAUAAAAACGUUAUAUUGAAUAGAGGAAAUAUCUUCCAUACUCAGGUUGAUACUUGUGUCAAAUUUAUGUCUUUUAUUUCAACCAAGCUUAGAUAAUCACAAACAGAAUUUUAAGAAAAAUGUUUUUCUCCAGUGGACCUGCUGGAGAAGGAGGAAGAACAUGGUCCUUCUGGCACACAGCCGAUGGGUGUUAGGUCAUCCCUAUUAGAGGAAGAUGCAGGGAUGCAUUUGAGAAAGUUUCCUUUUCAAUUAGAGCCAAGGGCGGGGGCAGGAAAGGACUCUGCAUGUUGCUUAGACCUCACUACCAGGGAGAGAGAGACUUUUUCUGAGUGCUGAUCUUUAUCUAUUUCUGACAAAAUCAAGUACUGCCACCCUGGAGUGGACAGGAUUUAUUCUGUCAUUGGCAAGUUUAGAGUGAGAAUGGCUUCAAAGAGUUCUUAUGCAGGAGAAACAGAAGUCACCUCAAAAUUUUACUUUGCACUUCAGAUACUGAACCUAGAGAACUAGGAGGAAAACAAAUUGGAAAGACAGGAAAGUCACCUAUUUGACCUAAGUUGUAUAGCGGGAGUGUACCCUGACUUUUGAAUUGAGAGCUUAUUUUGUACAGAGAACGUGUUAGCUGACUGAAAUGGAUGCAUACGUAGAAGGAGUGCUCCAUUACCUUGUUGGGUUGUAAAAGUUUUAAACUACGUAUUAAUUAACUCAGAUCAAUGCUUUAAGCUAACUGCCUGGCUAAUGUUCCUAACUCAGCCACAAACAAAAGAAAAGCAGAGAGGAGACACAGGUAGAAUGUCAUCUGUCUCUAAGGGCACCCAACUGAGUUGACUUAAUUUUAGUGAUAACAAAUGUCACACUGGUUUAGUAGAAUUUAUGACUUUUUAAAUGAAUAGUAAUCAAAUAUUUUGACAGGAAGCUUCCUCAUUGUCACAGGCUAUUUUGGAUUCUGCAACUCAAAUUAAUAAAAUGGUUCCUGGGGUGCACAGCAUAAUUCUGAGAACAUAUUCUCUGCUAAACAUAGUGUUACAGUGUUUCUCCUUAAUUCGGAAGCUUUCUACCUAGAAAUGCUAAGAAAGCAGAUUCUCUUUAAAAUUUCUGAAUGUAACCGCCAAAAGGGGUCCUCUACUUGCCACAAAGACAAGCCAACAGUUCAGAGACAAGGUGGUAGGAGAGAAAGGGUCUUUUUAUUACAGCUUGCUAGCAAGGGGGAAGAUGGCAGACUAGUGUCAUAAAGAACCAUCUUAAAACCAUAAAAUGUUGAAGUAGUUCUAUAGGGCAAAUGGACAGAAGCAGGCGGGUGGGAGGGGGGUCUCAGGAUGUCGAUCAUCUGGUGUUGUGGUCCUUGAGACUCCAGAUCAUCCCUUCCUCUUGUCACCGGUGAUGGAUACCAGCAGAGGGCUUUCUCCUGGAGGUCAUUACAUCCCUGGGAAAACUUAAAGAACACAGUUAUUACCUUAUCAGAAUAGGGAGGUCUAAGGAUAAGCCAAGGCUACAGAAAUAGCAGAGCAUGCAUAUUUCUUAUAAGCAGGCGUGUACUUAUCUAGGCUUCCUGCAAACUAAAGCAUUGCUGACAAAGAGGACGAGUGUCUUGUGGGCUGGGGUCAUUUAUAGUCCUAACAUGGUUCUGAUGCAGAUCAAGCCUGCCCCCAAGGAGAGAAAUCCAAGGCAUCCUGCCCUACAUACCAAUCUAUAUCAUCCUCCAGGAAGCAUAGGACGUCCUGACCUGAUCCUACCUGAUUCUUAUCCAAAGGGAUAGGACUACUCAAUAACCAGACCCCACUGAUGCAGGGUUGGCAAGCCGAAGAGUCAAAAGAAAGAUUUCUUGGACUCUCAAGGUCUGGCAGUAGUGCUCUUUUAUUUAGAGAAUAGUGUGGAAUAGCAUGGGGACAGGACCCAUGGGCAGUCAGAGCUGCUGCUGCUGGCAUGGGGACAGGACCCAUGGGCAGUCAGAGCUGCUGCAAACAUGGGUUGAGGGUAGGGCUAAAUUUAAGGCGUAGGUAUGUGAGUUAUCUCUUUACAAGACAAAGGAAAGAAUAUGUAAAAAGUUGUUACAAUGAUAUCAGUGCCGGUGGGCUCUGGUUAUUGGGUGGUCUUAUAACUUUUAGAUAAGAAUCAAACCAGAUUAAGUAAAUGGCAGAGGCUACCACCUUAAAUAUUAUCUUCAGCUAAAGACAAAGGAGGAUGUUGGUGGGUGGGUGGGGGUCAGUUACAUGAGGUUACCAGACAGUGAACAACUUAAGUCUUUGCCUUCCCUAUUAAGAGUUUCCAGAGAUAAGGCCAUCCCCCCUUCCUUUUGGUGCAGGGAGGGAGACACCCCCACAGAUGGAGACUUCCUUCACAAAUGCAAAUGUCUCUCAUCAAAGGGCAAGCAAAUUCCACUCCUCAGAGCCUCCUUCUUGUCUGCAUUUUUUAAAAUUAACCAGCCUAAAAUAAUCCUCAUCACCACCUGCACUGAUACCAUUUUAAUGACUUUUUAACAUAAUCUUUCCUUUGUUUUGUAAAGAAAUAAUUCACAUACCUAUGCUUUGUAAAUUUAGCCCUACCUUCAACUCAUUGCAGCUCUUCACUGCCCAUGGGUCCUGUCCCCAUGCUACUCCAUGCUAUUCUCUGAAUAAAGGAACACUACUCCCAGACCUUGAGAGUCCAAGAAAUCUUUCUUUUGACUCCUCGGCUCACUGAGCCCGCAUCAGUUCCUCUCUAUAAAAUGGCGUCCUUUGUGCUAACCUAUGUUAACCAUGGACUGUGUUUAUCUUAGCUUUCAGGUGGUGCUAACAUGAAUGCUCUUAAAGCUUAGAAGUUUGUUAGAAUUCAAAAAUUUUAAAGUGAAUAACUAGUGUUUGGAUGCUAUUUACAGUCAGCACAGGGAAACAAUGGCAUAUUGUUUACACUAGCAAAUUAGAAAUGUUUCUGCACCACACUCAUGAAUAAAAUUUUAAAGCAAACUCUUACUCAAUGGCUAGGAAAAUACAUUCUGCAUUGAGUGUUAAAGUUAUACAAUUAAAAAUAUACUCUUUAAAAAAAAUGACUAAAAAUGACAAAUGUGUUUUAAGGAUCAUCUACCUGAGGGUGACAGCUCAGCUUUAUCUGUGGAGCCAGUUUCAGCAACUUGGGGCAGCCUGGCCCUGAAUUAAAAAUUUUGAAGUCACUUCUGGGUCCAGCAAGAGAGACCAACUGUCAGUCACUAACGUUUGCUUUGGAAAAGUCCAGUUAGAGAAAGGGUGGCAGCACCCUUUCAAAUUACCGACGAAGACAGUGAGUGUCAAAACUAUGGCAUUAAGUUAUUUGCAUUUUCUAGGACUGCACCAAUGAAGACACUACCAUUUCUGCAGGGUUUGCACAGAAGGCAAACCUUCCAUCCUGACAGGUAAUCUGGUAAAGGAGUAAGUGAGCCAUUGGCCCUUCAUCAUAUGAAUAGUAUAGAUUCAAAAGGAGAAAGCAGCCAAAGGUUAGAAAGGUUGAUAAACACAGCAAUGGAAAAGAUGUGGGGAAGCCGGCAUUCACUUUUUCUAUUGAUGGGAGUAUAAAAUGGCACAACUCUUAGGGUGGUUCAUCAGGAAACGGUAGUGGAAAUUUGUCAUGCGCAAACUGACUCCACUAUCCUACUUCUAAGGUGUUAUUCUAAAGAAAUAAUAAACAAGUGACUGCAUUUGAUUCCCUAACCUCUUAAAUUCAAGUUCACGUGCUGGAUGUGCAGCAAGCCAAACACUUAGACAUCGGUGCUUGGAGAUGGAGAAAGGCCCCAUUAGAGUUGACCAAGCUGAGAGGUGGGAGCCUGGCUUUGCUCAAAUGCACCUUCACAAGAGCAGAAAACAGGAUUGUACAGAGCUAAGGGGCUGGGCAGGAGGAGCUCUGGGGAAACAAAGGGGUCACUCCUGAUAAGCCCCUGGGCGAUCUGACUUCUUUGCUUCAACAGCAGCUAGGGGCCCGCCAUCUGGUGAUGCAACAUCCCCGAAGGCAUUGUCUUUCUUCUGCAAAACAAGCUCACAAAUCCUGGAGACCACUGAGCCACCCCUCAAGUUAAACAGGAAAACGGCAAAUUGCUUAUUGAAUAUGCACAGUAACCCUCAGGUACCCGGCUUCAUAGUGUUAAUUAAAAUAGCAAAUUUUGGAAAAUUUAAAUGUCCUACAGUAAGAAAUGAGAUAAAUAGUAUAGCAAUAUCCUGUUAUAAAGCUGUUAUGUUGAUAAGGAUGUUAAACAUAUGGUAAAAAGAGUAAGACUGCACUGAUAAGAAAGUUAUAGAGUUAGAUUGUAAAAUAAACAAGCAAGUAGGAAAAUUUUGGAUUAUUCUAUAGGUAUAGGGGGUGCUCCUCCCCCCAGCCCCGGGCCACUGUCCAGCUGAUUUCUCCAGGGUCUGAGGGCUUUGUCUGGCCUCAGGAAUGUGCACUGGAAGCCUGACAUGCCAGGAAGUUCACACCCUUGCAGCCUGCAGCCAGUAAUUUGUGGGAGUUUGUGAGUAAAUAUUCCAGGUUCCUCACUCACUGGGUGGGACAACCCACGUCAUAUUCACUGUAGUUUCCCUGAAGUUCCCAGUGGAACUGGGCCUCAGUGUCCCACCAGGGUGACUUAUCCAUUAAUGGUCCCAAAGACCCUUCUUCCCAUCGCAUAUCCCUUUUCCUCUAUGGGUGCUCCUGGGUUCACCUUCCAGAUAAAACAAUAUCCUCUCCCAUUUUACUCAGGGUCUGCCUACAGGAGAAUCCAACCUAAAGCAGUCUUUUUGUAUGUAUUGCAUGGCUUGUGUGUGUGUAUCUAGUACAAGGCAACUACAAUAUACACCAAACUAUUGACAGUGCUUCUCUGUGCAGUAGAAUUAGAAGUGAUGCUUAAACUUUUCUGUGUCAUUUGAUUUAUUUUUGAGGAGAGUGUGUUAUUUGUGGAAGGACGAUUUGUGGACCAAAUGGGCGGUGCACUGUGCCUCCCGGGUACACUGAGUCCUAGGCUGAGGAAAGAUGCACUUCAGAUGGGAGAGGCGGAUGUUUGCAGGUCGUGCACUGCCUUCCUCCAGGAGGGUUGCCUGUUCUGUUCUGGAACUUGGCAGGAUACAGGCUGAAGCCCCCCGGUACAUAGUCAUAUAUUCUUCGUUGUGGGUCCUUCCAGUUGUGGCAUGUGGGACGCUACCUCAGCGUGGUUUGAUGAGCAGUGCCAUGUCCGCACCCAGGAUUCGAACCAACAAAACACUGGGCCACCUGCAGUGGAGCGCGUGAACUUAACCACUCGGCCACGGGGCCAGACCCUCCUUUUUGAUCACUUCAUUAUAACUAUACAGAUCUUGAUUUUAAUGUUAAAAGAGAGAAAUGACAAGAAAAAUUCAGGGAAUAUAAUAUAUUAUUUUAAAACACAUCCUUUUCCCCAUAAAUGAACCUCUCAUUAUUUGCAUAUCUGUGUGUAACUACAAUGGAAAAAUAAAAUAAC